CCAGCACUGUGUGCGCCCCUCCACCUGGCACACGCCGAGGGCACACCCAGUGCAGGGAGGAGCAGGGCCGGUUCCUUCGGGAGGCUGGCGUGGAGGAUCCAUCCUUUGCCUCUUCCCGCUUUCAAUGCUUGUUGGCCUCCUCGGCUGUGAGCCGGGUCUCCCGUCUCUGCCUCUGUCUUCACGUGGCCCCACCCUGUGUCUUAUCUUCUCUCUCUUACGAGGACACUUGUCACUGGCCCACCUAGGUCAUCCGGGAUGGUCUCACCUCAAGACGCUUCACUUAGUUACACCUACAAAGACCCCUUUCCCAAAUAAACUCACGUUCACAGGAUCCUGCGAUUUGCACACAGACACAUCCUUGUGGGGCCCCCGUUCACCCCAUUCCACCUUUCGACAUUCUGGAGAAGAGCUGCCCUGCCCGGGAGAUACCCAGAUGGAUAGACCUGGCCCUACCCCAAGGGACCCACCCCCCAGUGGGAGCAUGGUGAGCCAAGAGAGGGAGCCGUGACGCCCGGGCUCCUACAUAACACGCGCUUAAUGUGGCCUCUCGAUUCCUCCAGUGUGGACUUUGCAUCUUGGCAUCUCCUUCUGGGGGAUGAGAAUUUCAGCUUUCCUGCACCUCCCUUUCUCCUCCCCAGCUCCCAGCAGAGCUGAAUCCGUGUUCACUGUUGCCGUGAGGAAGGCUGGAGGUGUUAUUCAUUGCUGGGCCAAGUGGGUCACUAUGAUUACAACCGAGGGCACGUGUUGUGUGCCCAGUAUUUACAGAUGAAAUGACCGUGUCUGGGAUUUGCUUGACAAUAAUCUUGGCGGAGGGGUAGGUCAGGAUAUGGGUCAAACCAAAUUGACCGUGUGGGUUGAUAGUUGUUGAAGGUGGGUGAUGGAUUCAUGAGGGUUUAUCAUAGCAUUCUCUUUUUGCAUUUGUGUGACAUCUUCUAUAAUAAUAUUUUAAUAGUUAUUUUAGGGAGACCCUCUGUGUUUUAAACCCUCAGUCUUUAGAUGUCUGGAAAAAUUGCUUCUUGGUCCUCACUUUGGAAUGUAAUUUACCCAAGUUUUGAACAUUAACUGCAGCCCACCCAUUUUACACCACAACUCAGCAUGCACGCACUACGUUUCAUCCAUUCUAUCGUGACUCCUUUGUGACAUUUUGGUGUCUGUGAAAUCAGGAUGUGUCUUACAAACGAUGGCAUCUUAGACUUGAUGAACUAUGGCGUACGACAAAACUUCACGUGGGCUGCAGCUUCUCUGCUGCUCCUCCCACUGACAGGUGGGGUCUCAUCCCCUGCAGCCUGGCCGGCCUCAGUGACUUGGUUGACCAAAUGAAUGUGGCAGAUGUGAUGUUUGGGGACCCCUGAAGUCAGGUCAUCAGAAGCCUUGCAGCUUCCACCUGAGCUCUGUGGGAACUCCUUCUCUGAAAGGAGUCAGCUGCCAAGUAAGACCAGCCACCCUGAGAGCGCCAUGCUGUAAGGAAGCCCGAGGUACCCACGUAGAGAGAUGGUGUUGAGCGAGACCCCCAGAUGUUGCCGCCCUCCCAUGAGGAGGUCACAAGGCCGGCCCAGAUUCGAGUCUGGAGAAACAGACCCCAUUCAUCUCUUGAUGGGAGGAGCAGCCGUGUCACUGCUAUGGACUGAGUGUGGACCCGCCAAAAUCCGAGCCCAAAUUGACCAGGACAGUCGCUUGGCAAAGAGAUGUGGACACGGAAGCAUGGUUCUUUGAAGGCUGUAGCAGACAGGUCAGGUGGCCACAACAGCAGAACACAGACUGGGUGACUUAAACAACAGACGUGUAUUUCCUCUCAGUCCUGGAGGCUAAAAAUUCCAAGAUCGAGGUGUCGACCGGGUGAGUUUCUCCUGAGGCCCCUCUCCUCGGCGUGUAGAUGCCGUCUUCUCCGUGUCCUCACCUGGCCUUCCCUCUGUGAGUCCACACCCCUGGUGUGUCCAAUCGUGUCAGAUCAGGGCCUCACCCGUAUGACCUAAUUUAACCAUAAUUACCUCUGUAAAAGCCCUGUCUCCAAAAACAGUCACAUUCUGGGGGUUAGGGACACAAUUCAGUCCCUAUAAUAAUGGCCAUUAUUGUAACAUUGGAAACGCUGUUUAUCACUUCCCAGGUGGACAGUUAUUUUCUCUCAACACACUAAAGAUGGUGGUCCAUCGUCCUCCAACAUCCACCGGGCAGAGGGCAAGUCUGUAGCGGGGCUCAUUGUCUGUCUUUUGCAAACCACCCGCCCUCUCGUUCUGGUACCUUUUACGCCUCUCCUACUUAUUCCUGAGAGCUUGCAGUUUUACCAUAAUGCUUCUAGGUGUAUGUUUUAUUUGUAUUUAUCAUCCUGGGAAUCGGAGAGCGCUUUGAGUUGGUUUGCAUCCUCUCAUCUUUCUUUGAUCACAGAAAUUUCACAUCUACAAUUUCCCGUGAUCACUUCACCAUUCUUUCCUUCUGUGCUUUCGGAACACCUGUUAAUGGCGCCUGGAGCGGCUCCGUUGGUCUUCCAUGUGACUUCUAUGCUCUAUCUCAUUUUUCAUUGCUUUGGAUGUGUUGUUUAUUCUGUUCUUCCUGACUAAUGACUUCCAAAUGGCGAAAUUUCCCCUUGACCAUGUCAAUCUCGAGUUAACCUCAUCUAUUGAGCUUUUCAUUUGAAUAACCACAUUUUUCGUGUUGUAUUGGUCAGCCCCGGCUGCCAUCACAAAAUACAAUAGAGCGGAGGGCUUACUCCACAGGAAUUUAUUUCUCACAGUUCUAGAGGCUGCGAAGUCCAAGACCAAGGUGCUGGCUGAUUGGGUUCCCUGCUGAGGGCUCUCUUCCUGGCUGGUGGACGGCUGCCUUCUUGCUGUCUUUUCACAUGACGGAGGGAGAGAGUAAGCAAGCUCUCUGGUGUCUGCUCUUACAAGGACACUAAUCCCAUGAUGAAGGCCCCAUUGUUAUGACCUCACCUAACCCUGAUUACCUCCCAAAGGCCUCAUUUCUAAAUACCUUCACAUGGUGGGGGGGUGGGGGGGGCGAGGAGCGGGUUAAGGUUUCAACAUAUAGAUUGGUGGUGGUGGGGACACACAAUUCAGUCCAUAGCACAUGUGUCAGAUUUUAAUAAUUUUUUAUAACUGCUUGUUUUUGUUUCUUUUCUCCUCCUCCUUGCCCCCACCAAAGCCCCCGAGUACAUAGUUGUAUAUUCUCAUUGUGGGUCCUUCUGGUUGUGCCGUGUGGGCCACCGCCUCAGCAUGCCCUGAUGAGCGGUGCCGCGUCAGCACCCAGGAUCUGAAUGGUGACACCCUGGGCCACCGAAGCAGAGCUCACGAACUUAACUACUCGGCCCUGGGGUCGGCCCCUG
Molecule: long non-coding RNA, 3316 nt
Filed under: Equus caballus (horse)
Lineage: Eukaryota; Metazoa; Chordata; Mammalia; Perissodactyla; Equidae
Description: lncRNA (ENSECAG00000045297.1)
Source: RNAcentral